CAUGUCUUUUUGAUUAUAAUUUAAAGUCUGACCUGCCCUAUGAAUUAAAUUUUAAAUGGCUGCGGUAUUUUGACCGUGCAAAGGUAGCAUAAUAAUUAGUUUAUUAAUUGUGAACUGGUAUGAAUGGUUGGACGAGAAAAAAACUGUCUCAAUUUAAUUUAAAUUAAAAUUUUAUAUUUAAGUAAAAAAGCUUAAAUUUUUUUAAAAGACGAGAAGACCCUAUAGAGUUUUAUAUUUUUUUUUAUUUUAAAAAUUUAAAGAAUAAUAAUUUUAUUAUAUAAGAAAAUAUUUAGUUGGGGUGAUUGAAAAAUUAAAAGAACUUUUUUUAAAAAUAAAACAUUUAUUUAUGAAUAUUUGAUCCAUAUAUUUAUGAUUAAAAGAUUAAAUUACCUUAGGGAUAACAGCGUUAUUUUUUUUGAGAGUUCUUAUCGAAAAAAAAGUUUGCGACC
RNAcentral lists this ribosomal RNA (449 nucleotides) under Demarziella mirifica. Its description in RNAcentral is "partial 16S ribosomal RNA". The record is from RNAcentral. Lineage: Eukaryota; Metazoa; Arthropoda; Insecta; Coleoptera; Scarabaeidae.